RNAcentral lists this transfer RNA (92 nucleotides) under Leishmania donovani. RNAcentral's name for it is "tRNA valine". RNAcentral also lists the same sequence under 1 other name. Lineage: Eukaryota; Euglenozoa; Kinetoplastea; Trypanosomatida; Trypanosomatidae. The record is from RNAcentral.
CGAGCGCGUGGUCAGAUGGGUGCGACGCUGACAUCGUUGUCCCCGUGUCGGCGCGAGUGGUGCCGUGGCUGUUCGACUCCGUCGCGGCCGUC